UGUGAGUUUUGCAAAAAUAAUAAGUAAAAGUUAAGAAAAAGAUAAUAAAAUAAAAGAAAUAAAAAACCAAAGGGUGUAUGUAUAAUUUUGACUGGUUUGUGCUAGUCUACCGUAGUUGCAGGACUUUAUAGUCUGUUAGUAUACUGGAACGCUAGCGACAGGAAGAAAACACCCCACGGUAAUUACAACUGGGUAAGAGCAAACCAGAUCUUGCGAAGUACAAUGUUUAAGUCUGAGAUUUUACUUAGGUUUAAAGCUGCUCCUUAACGGACUUUUUUCUUUCAACUACACAUUCUUUCGGUUAGCACAUAUGGCCAAAGACAGAACCAGAGCUAGCCCAUUUUAAAGGUGUUAACCAAGGCUAUUCGCA
This 370-nucleotide long non-coding RNA is filed under the name Mytilus galloprovincialis (Mediterranean mussel). The record is from RNAcentral. Lineage: Eukaryota; Metazoa; Mollusca; Bivalvia; Mytilida; Mytilidae.